UACAGAGGAGCCAAGCGUUGUCCGGAUUGACUGGGCGUAAAGCGCACGCAGGCGGAUGCGCGCGUGGGGUGUGAAAUCUGGCCGCUUAACGGCCAGGCGCCAUCCCAUACGGCGCGUCUGGAGUGAUGCAGAGGUCGGUGGAAUUGCCGGUGUAGUGGUGAAAUGCGUAGAGAUCGGCAGGAACACCCAGGGGGAAACCAGCCGACUGGGCAUCUACUGACGCUGAGGUGCGAAAGCGUGGGGAGCGAACAGG
Molecule: ribosomal RNA, 253 nt
Filed under: uncultured bacterium
Lineage: Bacteria
Description: partial 16S ribosomal RNA
Rfam family: Bacterial small subunit ribosomal RNA
Source: RNAcentral